GUGAGAGUAGGCCUUGUGUUCACCACAAACCCAGAGGAUACAGACUGUGUAGUUAUUGAUGUGGAAGGAAGUAGGGUCGACUACAAAUCAGCCAGAAAUGAGGAGGUGAGGUCUUUCUCCUUUGACCAAGUUGUAACAGCUGACAACAUGGAGAAUCUUCAUUCCAAACUGCUGCAGCCUCUUCCUGACWCAGUCUCCAGUGGAUGUAACGGAGCGCUGAUGAUGUGUGGAGCAACCGAG
Long non-coding RNA from Austrofundulus limnaeus, 240 nucleotides. RefSeq lists it as uncharacterized. Lineage: Eukaryota; Metazoa; Chordata; Actinopteri; Cyprinodontiformes; Rivulidae. The record is from RefSeq and is a predicted model, not a curated record. The transcript has 4 exons.